This 484-nucleotide ribosomal RNA is filed under the name uncultured bacterium. RNAcentral describes it as "partial 16S ribosomal RNA". It matches the Rfam family "Bacterial small subunit ribosomal RNA", at positions 30 to 507 of the family's 1533-position model. The record is from RNAcentral.
AUUGAACGCUGGCGGCAGGCCUAACACAUGCCAGUCGAGCGGAUGAAGGGAGCUUGCUCCUGGAUUCAGCGGCGGACGGGUGAGUAAUGCCUAGGAAUCUGCCUGGUAGUGGGGGAUAACGUCCGGAAACGGGCGCUAAUACCGCAUACGUCCUGAGGGAGAAAGUGGGGGAUCUUCGGACCUCACGCUAUCAGAUGAGCCUAGGUCGGAUUAGCUAGUUGGUGGGGUAAAGGCCUACCAAGGCGACGAUCCGUAACUGGUCUGAGAGGAUGAUCAGUCACACUGGAACUGAGACACGGUCCAGACUCCUACGGGAGGCAGCAGUGGGGAAUAUUGGACAAUGGGCGAAAGCCUGAUCCAGCCAUGCCGCGUGUGUGAAGAAGGUCUUCGGAUUGUAAAGCACUUUAAGUUGGGAGGAAGGGCAGUAAGUUGAUACCUUGCUGUUUUGACGUUACCAACAGAAUAAGCACCGGCUAACUUCGUG